This 2429-nucleotide unclassified non-coding RNA is filed under the name Hevea brasiliensis (rubber tree). Lineage: Eukaryota; Viridiplantae; Streptophyta; Magnoliopsida; Malpighiales; Euphorbiaceae. The record is from RNAcentral.
GGAUUAUAUAUCUUAAAAUUAACAAAAUAAAAUUUAAAACUAUAUUAUAACAUUUAAUUAUAAUUAAAUCAUAAUGUGGAGAGGUUCUUAAGUUAUGGGAUUUAUGUCUUAUAGGGUAUAAUUAAUUAAUUAGGUUAUCAUAUAAUUGGAAUUAGGGUUUAAAUCUAAAUUAAAAAAAAAUAGUAAUUAAUAGCAAUUUCUUACUCAUGGCACGACUGAAAGCUAUAUUUUAAGAACUUGUUAUAAUUAACAGCUAUGAAAAUUAAGAAAGAAAAGGUUCUUACAUCUGGCUUCAUCAAAUGUGUACCAAAUUCCUACAGCAUUAAUAGAGAUAGAGAUUAGUGUGCGGAAAUCAAAAACUUAUAACUAGUCAAUUGAUUAUAGUCCGCUACGAUACGCUUACAAGAAUACAUGUUUCUAUGGUCUCCAUCAAUCAUACUGUGUAACAUUUCGAAAAUCCAACUGCAGAUUAAUGAAAUUUCUAUGAUUUAAUACUGUUAAAUGUAUUAUCUUCAGGAUAAAUUAAAUUUUUUUUCCAAUUAAUAGUGACACUAGAAACUAAUUGCCUUAACACUAUACUUGGAGGAAAUUUUUGAAAGUGUAGUAUAAGUUUUAAAAUUCAUCAUCUUUUGUUAAAAAGUAUGGGUUUUUAAAAUAGUAAGUUUGUUUGGGAGUAAGGCUUUUCAAGGAAUGUAAUGUUCUUAGGGAUUUAAAAACUUUCAAAAACCCUAUUUUUUUAACUCACCAAAUUAAUUAAUUCGGGAGGUUUUGUAAUCUUAACUUCUAUUAUCUUAUUUUACCAUAUUUAAAAAACCUCUAUACACUCUAUCCAAACAUAUUUUAAGGUCUUGCCAUCUUUACAAUAGAAUAUAUUUAUUUUCAGUGACUUAUCAAUGUAGUUAUAAAUUUUAAAUAUUAUAGAGCCAGUGGAUAUGAGGGUUAGCAAUUAUAAAAGUAAUUAUUAGAAAAUUUGUGUUACUAGGCUCCCCUUUAAAACUCAAACUCAGUGAGACUAAAGAGAAGAAGUUAAUAGAUUACAAAUAGGCUCAAAAUAAUAAUUGAUGAAAUCGGUACUCAUGGGAAAAGUGAUCCUUAAUAAAAUAUGCACCCAAGGAUCUAAAUAGAGAAAUUCCUCUGCAAGGGAGGCUUAAUGAGGACACAUGUCACUACAUCCACCAUGCAUUUUUGAAAGACAAAAGAGAAGAAAAUAAGAUAGGGGAGCCGGCCACUUAGGACACUCCCUCUCUAUCAUUUUUUACUCUCUUUUCACCUUAAUUUUCCAUCUCUUCCAAACCCAAUCUCUCCCACAAGGAGAACUCUGGCUCUCCAAAACUCACCUCCAAGCCUCAUUUUCUUUUCUUCAACCAUGUUUUCACAACCUCAAUCUCCCUCUUUCUCACAUCCAAAAACAUAAAGAAUCUAGAAGAUUAAGGAAUCAAGCAGGUAAAAGGAAAUGGGAGGGGGGAAGGGAUUCGACUAGGUAAGGAAGCGCCGCCCCAAAGCUCUUAUCCUCAUCUUUCCACUUCUUCUUCUUCCUCAUGGGUUGCAUUUUCAUGGAGCAGUGCAUUGACAUAAUGAUGUGCUGCAUUUUUAUAGUAAAUUUGGUGUUAUUUUCAUUAUAUUUCUGUAGUGUUUUUGUUGAUAUCUAUUGCUAAAUUAAGUCUUAAUUGUGUUUCUUAUGUUUUCACUUUGAUUUUUAGUGUUUGAUGGUUUUAGGUGCUAAAGACAUUCAUUUUUGGAAUUUAAGUGAUAAUUGUGUCAUUUUGGCAAAACAAUUUAGACAGUUGAGUGCAAGGCUGUGGAAAGUGACUUACGUUUAUGCAUAGGCCGUGUGGAAUUGAAAUAACUUAGAAAAAUUGAAGUUUUCAAGUGAGGCAGCGAACUGCAUAGCUUGGCUAUGCAAACCGAGAAAAGUGCAUGGCUUGGCUGUGCAAAAAACAAAGAGUAGAAGUGGAGAAGGAAAAAGGCAGUAGAUCAUACUAAAGCAUCAUGAGAACAGAAAUGGAGAUCGGGACGAGAUGAGAGAAAGACUAGAAGCUUUUGGGAUUUGGAUUUGGUUAAACAAUAAGGAGGAGGGACAAUGAAGGGAGGGAAGGACCGAGGGAGAUGAGAGAAAGAGAGAAGUUUUGGAGCAAUUGGUAUCUUCUAUGGGGUUUAGCAGUCUACAUUUGUUUACGAAAAGAGAAAGAAUGGUCUACCUUUUUUGUUGUGGACAUGUUAACUUCAAAUAAAGAAAAUUAAAAAAGAAAAAGAGAUUUAUCUGUCCUCGUCUCAUUCCUUUACUACUCAGGAAAAUAGAAUGGUUUUCACUGUUCUUACCAUACUCACGUAGAUGAAAGAGAAAAUAAAGUCUCUGUAAAAUAAUAAUAAUGGAUCUCUUGAGUUAAAAAGAGGUGAUGUUAUCAAUAAAAAAAUAAUAAUAAUAAACA